GAUGAACGCUAGCGGCAGGCCUAAUACAUGCAAGUCGAACGGGAUUGCGGUAGUAGCUUGCUACUACUGCAUGAGAGUGGCGCACGGGUGCGUAACGCGUGAGCAACCUACCCAUAUCAGGGGGAUAGCCCGGCGAAAGUCGGAUUAACACCGCAUAACAUCAACAGUUCGCAUGUUCAGUUGAUUAAAUAUUUAUAGGAUAUGGAUGGGCUCGCGUGACAUUAGCUAGUUGGUAGGGUAACGGCUUACCAAGGCAACGAUGUCUAGGGCUCUGAGAGGAGAAUCCCCCACACUGGUACUGAGACACGGACCAGACUCCUACGGGAGGCAGCAGUAAGGAAUAUUGGUCAAUGGGCGCAAGCCUGAACCAGCCAUGCCGCGUGCAGGAGGACUGCCCUAUGGGUUGUAAACUGCUUUUAUCAGGGAAUAAACCCCUUUACGAGUAGAGGGUUGAAUGUACCUGAAGAAUAAGGAUCGGCUAACUCCGUG
RNAcentral lists this ribosomal RNA (489 nucleotides) under uncultured bacterium. RNAcentral describes it as "partial 16S ribosomal RNA". It matches the Rfam family "Bacterial small subunit ribosomal RNA", at positions 28 to 507 of the family's 1533-position model. The record is from RNAcentral.